UGCAUAUCAAAAAGCGGAGGAAAAGAAAAUAACCAUGAUUCCCCUAGUAACGGCGAGUGAAGAGGGAAAAGCUCAAAGUUGGAACCUGGCUGCCCUAGGCAGUCCGGAUUUUUUGCAUAUUUCCAAUAGCGGAGGAAAAGAAACCAACAGGGAUUGCCUCAGUAACGGCGAGUGAAGCGGCAACAGCUCAAAUUUGAAAUCUGGCCUCCCGGGGUCCGAGUUGUAAUUUGUAGAGGAUGUUUUGGGUACCGCCCCGGUUUAAAUUUCUUGGAACAGAAUGUCAGAGAGGGUGAGAAUCCCGUCUUGGACCGGCGGUAGGGCCUGUGUAAAACUCCUUCGACGAGUCGAGUUGUUUGGGAAUGCAGCUCAAAAUGGGUGGUAAAUUUCAUCUAAAGCUAAAUAUUGGCCAGAGACCGAUAGCGCACAAGUAGAGUGAUCGAAAGAUGAAAAGAACUUUGAAAAGAGAGUUAAACAGUAUGUGAAAUUGUUGAAAGGGAAGCGCUUGCAACCAGACUUGAGCGCGACGGUUCCCCUAGCCUUUUGGCUAGGUUACUCCGUCGUGUCCAGGCCAACAUCGGUUCUGAGGGUCGGUCAAAGGCUCUGGGAAUGUAUCUACCCACGGGUAGACUUAUAGACCAGGGUGUCAUGCGACCUCUCGGGACCGAGGAACGCGCUUCGGCUCGGAUGUUGGCGUAAUGGUUGUCAGCGACCCGUCUUAAUCCCCGAACAAAUAAUAAGCUUGCUGAUGUGCUAGGUUACACCGAGUCUAGUCGCCUACUAGAACUGUAAUCUACUUUGGUUAUUGGCUUAAUGACUCUAAAUGGCCCGUCUUGAACCACGGACCAAA
This 847-nucleotide ribosomal RNA is filed under the name Cladophialophora carrionii. RNAcentral's name for it is "LSU rRNA". It matches the Rfam family "Eukaryotic large subunit ribosomal RNA", at positions 1 to 670 of the family's 3401-position model. The record is from RNAcentral. Lineage: Eukaryota; Fungi; Ascomycota; Eurotiomycetes; Chaetothyriales; Herpotrichiellaceae.